GAUGUAACACUAUUUGUUUAUCCAUUUAUUUGUUGAGAGACAUUUGGGUUGUUUUCAAUUUGGGGCUAUAUAAAUAAAGCUGCUAUAAAUAUUUAUGUACAAGUUUUUGUGUAGGCAUAUUUUUAUUUCUCUCGGGUAAAUACUUAGGAUUGGAAUUGCUGGGUCAUAUAGCAAGUGUGUGUCUAACUUGCAAUAAAUUGCUGAAUU
RNAcentral lists this long non-coding RNA (207 nucleotides) under Homo sapiens (human). RNAcentral describes it as "non-protein coding lnc-PDRG1-2:1". Lineage: Eukaryota; Metazoa; Chordata; Mammalia; Primates; Hominidae. The record is from RNAcentral.